GGCCAGACUCCUACGGGAGGCAGCAGUGAGGAAUAUUGGUCAAUGGGCGAGAGCCUGAACCAGCCAAGUCGCGUGAGGGAAGACGGUCCUACGGAUUGUAAACCUCUUUUGUCAGGGAGCAAGGAGCGCCACGAGUGGUGCGGCGAGAGUACCUGAAGAAAAAGCAUCGGCUAACUCCGUGCCAGCAGCCGCGGUAACACGGAGGAUGCGAGCGUUAUCCGGAUUUAUUGGGUUUAAAGGGUGCGCAGGCGGAAUGUCAAGUCAGCGGUAAAAUUUCGGGGCUCAACCCCGUCGUGCCGUUGAAACUGGCGUUCUUGAGUGAGCGAGAAGUAUGCGGAAUGCGUGGUGUAGCGGUGAAAUGCAUAGAUAUCACGCAGAACUCCGAUUGCGAAGGCAGCAUACCGGCGCUCAACUGACGCUCAUGCACGAAAGCGUGGGUAUCGAACAGGAUUAGAUACCCGAGUA
RNAcentral lists this ribosomal RNA (465 nucleotides) under uncultured bacterium. Its description in RNAcentral is "bacterial SSU rRNA". It matches the Rfam family "Bacterial small subunit ribosomal RNA", at positions 329 to 792 of the family's 1533-position model. The record is from RNAcentral.